This 253-nucleotide ribosomal RNA is filed under the name uncultured bacterium. RNAcentral describes it as "partial 16S ribosomal RNA". It matches the Rfam family "Bacterial small subunit ribosomal RNA", at positions 524 to 776 of the family's 1533-position model. The record is from RNAcentral.
UACGGAGGGUGCUAGCGUUGUUCGGAAUUACUGGGCGUAAAGAGCGUGUAGGCGGCCAAGCAGGUCCGUUGUGAAAACUGGAGGCUUAACCUCCAGACGUCGACGGAAACCGCGCGGCUAGAGUCCGGAAGAGGAGAGUGGAAUUCCUGGUGUAGCGGUGAAAUGCGCAGAUAUCAGGAAGAACACCAAUGGCGAAGGCAGCUCUCUGGGACGGUACUGACGCUGAGACGCGAAAGCGUGGGGAGCGAACAGG